This is a long non-coding RNA of Myripristis murdjan (pinecone soldierfish), 430 nucleotides long. RefSeq lists it as uncharacterized. The record is from RefSeq and is a predicted model, not a curated record. The transcript has 4 exons. NCBI's taxonomy places the organism in Eukaryota, Metazoa, Chordata, Actinopteri, Holocentriformes, Holocentridae.
CUAACCCGAGUCUACCAAUCUACUGAUUUCCAAGAGAGCACUGUGACGUCCCAUGAAGCUUUGUUUGUGGUCCAAAUGCUGAAUUUUGUUCAGCAACAACGAUAGGGGAGAGGAGAGGAACAUCAUGGAUGACCUGCCCCUAUACUACCUCUGAUUGGUUAACUCUAACCCUAACCACAAACAGAGGCAACACUUUGUUUAGAGUUAGUUUUAAACCGCUGAAGCAAUGACGCAGAGACGCCACGACUCUCUGUCAACUAAGAGGGACCACACAUCAAUACAGCUGCUUAAACAGGAAAAUAAAGUGACUCAGAGGGGAGUCAACUCAACCAGUGGCAGAUCGAGCUCCAUCGCUGGACUGUUGCAUUGCAAGAGGUCGAUAUCCAGAUGAUUAUUCCACAAAUUUUAGCUUUUAUCCUCUGAAACAGUG